AACCUUACCUAGGCUUGACAUAUAGAGAAAUCCCACAGAGAUGUGGAGUCCGUAAGGGCUCUAUACAGGUGGUGCAUGGUUGUCGUCAGCUCGUGUCGUGAGAUGUUGGGUUAAAGUCCCGCAACGAGCGCAACCCUCGUUCUAUGUUGCCAGCGCGUAAUGGCGGGGAUUCAUAGGAGACUGCCGGGGUCAACUCGGAGGAAGGUGGGGAUGACGUCAAUCAUCAUGCCCCUUAUGCCUAGGGCUGCACGCAUGCUACAAUGGCCGAUACAAAGGGCUGCGAUACCGCAAGGUGGAGCGAAUCCCAUAAAGUCGGUCUCAGUUCGGAUUGGGGUCUGCAACUCGACCCCAUGAAGUUGGAGUUGCUAGUAAUCGCAGAUCAGCAACGCUGCGGUGAAUACGUUCCCGGGCCUUGUACACACCGCCCGUCACGUCACGAAAGUC
Molecule: ribosomal RNA, 444 nt
Filed under: uncultured Actinomycetes bacterium
Lineage: Bacteria; Bacillati; Actinomycetota; Actinomycetes
Description: bacterial SSU rRNA
Rfam family: Bacterial small subunit ribosomal RNA
Source: RNAcentral